This 253-nucleotide ribosomal RNA is filed under the name uncultured bacterium. RNAcentral describes it as "partial 16S ribosomal RNA". It matches the Rfam family "Bacterial small subunit ribosomal RNA", at positions 524 to 776 of the family's 1533-position model. The record is from RNAcentral.
UACGUAGGGUGCGAGCGUUGUCCGGAAUUAUUGGGCGUAAAGGGCUCGUAGGCGGUUUGUCGCGUCGGGAGUGAAAACACCGGGCUUAACUCGGUGCUUGCUUUCGAUACGGGCAGACUAGAGGUAUGCAGGGGAGAAUGGAAUUCCUGGUGUAGCGGUGAAAUGCGCAGAUAUCAGGAGGAACACCGGUGGCGAAGGCGGUUCUCUGGGCAUUGCCUGACGCUGAGGAGCGAAAGUGUGGGGAGCGAACAGG